Molecule: long non-coding RNA, 1922 nt
Organism: Larimichthys crocea (large yellow croaker)
Lineage: Eukaryota; Metazoa; Chordata; Actinopteri; Sciaenidae
Exons: 2
Source: RefSeq, a predicted model, not a curated record
UUUAAUCUGAGCUUUCUCUUUCUCUCUCCGUCUCUUUUUUCUUGCCCUCUUAAGCAGGAAACGAGCUAGAAGAACAGCGAGAAAAGGGGGCAUCCUGAAUCCGAAGGGGAGGGACCUCAGGUAGUGAUGACUGGAGGCCGAGGCUGAGCCCGUCUCCUCUUCAGUGUCACUGUUGUCCUGCUCCAGGUCUAACUGGAUUUAAAGACGCGGUGGAAAUCCCCCGAUGAAUCAACGUUUAACCCUUCACUGCCACGUCAACCAGAAAAGCUGUUUUUUUGUUUUUUUGGAUUGAACACGUUGGCUGCGGCUAACGUUUUUUGGAUAAUUUUCUGCCUCAGCAGCCUUGGUUAGCAGGAAGCUGCAGACGUGAUCAGCUAUCGUGUGUCUGCACACAGAGAUUUGAUUUGGGGGGGUUCACGCUGCUUUCUUUAUUCAGCUGAGCUGUGUUUGAAGGACUGUAUCUGUGAUCUGUUUGAUCUGCUCGUGAUGCAGCAGCCGGAUCAGAUAUUAAAACAGCAGAAUGUGUCAGACUUCGAAACAUUCACAAACCCAGUCUUUGUGAAAAUUUAUAAAUAAUUUGAUUUUUUUUUCUCAAUCUUUUCUUUACAGCUGCUACGAUUAGCUGAUGAUUAGUUGAUCAAUUGACGAAAAUGAUGAUUUAUGAUUUAUGAUUUAUUUUUUAGGCAAAAAUGGCAAACAUUUGCUGUUCCCAGCUUCACACAUGUAAGAUUUAAUGUUUGUCUAUGCCAUAAAUGACAGUAAACUGAAUAUGUUUGAGUUUUGGAAUGUAGGUCAGACAAAACAAGACAUCCUAUUGCAUUCUGGGAUCACUAUUAUAUAACAUUUACUUGUACUAUAAACUUCUAAAUACUUCACUGGUCGAUGUUGCUGUCUGAGAUUCGUUACCACCGUUCACUCAUCUGUUACUGUGUUUUAUUCAUUAUCUUCUAGCUCAUUUAUUCUGUAUUUUACAUGUGACUUCAAUAUGUUACACUGAUUAUGUUUUGUAAUUAAAAUCAAUUCCAAUCAUGUUGAAUUAUUCAUUUUUUGUGUGUUGUCAUCCAGUUGUGACAUCAUGAUGCACAGUUCAACUCUGUGAUACUGAGUGUUGUGUGUUGUUGGUCAGUGCAUAUUGUCACUUGCAUUCUUUAUUUCUUUUUCAGUAUGUGAAAUGUAAAGUUAGGAGACUUUUUUUUUAUGAAGUCACAUCAGAUGAAACUGUUAGACAUGAAAUUAAUCUGUGUUAAAGAACUGUAUACUACUGUGUAGUGUACAGAUCAUGUGGAGCAAUGUCAUUUUUAUGUUAUGAUUGUUCAACAAUUUACUUUUAUUUCAUAUUAGUGGUUAAAUACCUAAUAAUACUGUAAUAAACAGUAUAACCAGUUAUGCCUCGUAAUAAAUGCUGGAUGAUGUGAGAGCAGUACAGUAAGCCCAGUGUUCUCUUCAGAGGCCUGCUGUUGAAAUAGAGACGUCUUACAGUUGUGUCUAAAUAAAGCCUUAAUGCUGUCAUUUCACAACUGUCAAUUCUUUUGGUUGUCAUGCUUAUUAAUAGAAGCUCUGAAUGAGUUUUUUAUAAACAGGCAUAUCCUCUGGCAUGUUUCAUGUCUCAUCUUUAGAGGUAUUUUUAUACCUUUUUAAAGUCUUGAAUCGGUUUUAGUGAGAUUAAUUUUUUUGGCGUGAUUUUUGUUUCUGUUGAGCUGCCAAAGCAAAUUACGACAUCGUCUCUGCUGACCACAAAGACAUCGCUGAGUAAAUGGACUAAAAUGAAGACAUUAAUUAAGACGGUUGACAAGCUUCACUCCUCAGUCGUCAGUGUGUUGCAGUAAUUAGUCCAUAUGUACGAAUUUGUGUGUGAGAUUAUUGUGUCUAUGUUUGUCAUGCUAAUUAGGCCUGCCUAAAUACAAUAAAUAUUUAAUGAGAAA